This is a non-coding RNA of Pelobates cultripes (western spadefoot toad), 216 nucleotides long. NCBI's taxonomy places the organism in Eukaryota, Metazoa, Chordata, Amphibia, Anura, Pelobatidae. The record is from the annotation of a GenBank genome assembly.
AGCGUCAUUUAAAGGACCUAGAGUCAUGCAAACUCCCAGAAGUGCCUCUAGUGGCUGUCUUAAUACAGCAAUGUUUAGUUUCUCUAAAACUGUAAUAAUCUACAUUGCAGAGCUAAUGGGGACAGUUACACUGCACCUAGACCAUUUCAAUGAGCUGAAGCCUGCUCGAUCCUGUCCCAUCUCACCUCAUCAGAUCUCUCUCCCUUGUCUUGUGCC